This 253-nucleotide ribosomal RNA is filed under the name uncultured bacterium. RNAcentral's name for it is "partial 16S ribosomal RNA". It matches the Rfam family "Bacterial small subunit ribosomal RNA", at positions 524 to 776 of the family's 1533-position model. The record is from RNAcentral.
UACGAAGGGGGCUAGCGUUGUUCGGAGUUACUGGGCGUAAAGGGCGCGUAGGCGGCGCACCAAGUCAGGCGUGAAAGCCCUGGGCUCAACCCGGGAAUUGCGCUUGAGACUGGUGUGCUUGGGUACGGGAGAGGAUAGUGGAAUUCCCAGUGUAGAGGUGAAAUUCGUAGAUAUCAGGAGGAACACCAAUGGCGAAGGCAGCUCGCUGGAACGGUACUGACGCUGAGGCGCGAAAGCGUGGGGAGCGAACAGG